Molecule: ribosomal RNA, 363 nt
Filed under: uncultured bacterium
Lineage: Bacteria
Description: bacterial SSU rRNA
Rfam family: Bacterial small subunit ribosomal RNA
Source: RNAcentral
AACGAACGCUGGCGGCAGGCUUAACACAUGCAAGUCGAACGGUUGUAGCAAUACAGCAGUGGCAGACGGGUGAGUAACACGUGGGAACCUUCCUAGGGGUACGGAACAACUCAGGGAAACUUGAGCUAAUACCGUAUACGUCCGUGAGGAGAAAGUUUUAACGCCCCUAGACGGGCCCGCGUAGGAUUAGGUAGUUGGUGAGGUAACGGCUCACCAAGCCUACGAUCCUUAGCUGAUCUGAGAGGANGAUCAGCCACACUGGGACUGAGACACGGCCCAGACUCCUACGGGAGGCAGCAGUGGGGAAUCUUGGACAAUGGGCGGCAAGCCUGAUCCAGCCAUGCCGCGUGAGUGAAGAAGGCC